This 182-nucleotide non-coding RNA is filed under the name Schinkia azotoformans LMG 9581. RNAcentral describes it as "Bacillus azotoformans LMG 9581 Lysine riboswitch aptamer". It matches the Rfam family "Lysine riboswitch aptamer". Rfam says of the family: Riboswitches are metabolite binding domains within certain messenger RNAs that serve as precision sensors for their corresponding targets. Allosteric rearrangement of mRNA structure is mediated by ligand binding, and this results in modulation of gene expression. Lineage: Bacteria; Bacillati; Bacillota; Bacilli; Caryophanales; Bacillaceae. The record is from Rfam by way of RNAcentral.
AGUGAGUAUAGAGGCGCGAAAACCAUUAGUACACUAUGGGAGGAUAAUGAGAUCCAGGGAUCAUGGUUGAAAGGGGAAUUCGCCGAAGUGAUGAGAAGCUCAUUUUUCUCAGAUACUGGUUUUGCAUCGAAUAGGUGCAAGAUUGUCAUAUAGCGUUGUCUAUAUGGAGGGCUAUCUCACGC